CCUACGGGAGACAGCAGUGGGGGAUAUUGCACAAUUGGGGGAACCCUGAUGCAGCGACGCCGCGUGGGUGAAGAAGCGCCUCGGCGCGUAAAGCCCUGUCAGCAGGGAAGAAAAUGACGGUACCUGAAGAAGAAGCCCCGGCUAACUACGUGCCAGCAGCCGCGGUAAUACGUAGGGGGCAAGCGUUAUCCGGAUUUACUGGGUGGAAAGGGGGCGCAGACGGCGAUGCAAGCCAGGAGUGAAAGCCCGGGGCCCAACCCCGGGACUGCUCUUGGAACUGCGUGGCUGGAGUGCAGGAGGGGCAGGCGGAAUUCCUGGUGUAGCGGUGAAAUGCGUAGAUAUCAGGAGGAACACCGGUGGCGAAGGCGGCCUGCUGGACUGCAACUGACGUUGAGGCCCGAAAGCGUGGGGAGCAAACAGGAUUAGAUACCCGAGUAGUC
This 440-nucleotide ribosomal RNA is filed under the name uncultured bacterium. RNAcentral's name for it is "partial 16S ribosomal RNA". It matches the Rfam family "Bacterial small subunit ribosomal RNA", at positions 338 to 795 of the family's 1533-position model. The record is from RNAcentral.